AUUAACAAGCAAAAACCAUUUCCUUAAAACCUUGCUACCUCAAGCGGGAGCUAUGCGUCAGCAGAUUACAACAGUUCCAGGUGAAGACAAUGUUGGCAAAAGUCUUCCAACCCCUCCAACUUUCUGACCUGCAGAAUGAAAGCAUUCUGUCUCUGGGCUCCUAAGAUCAGAAAUGUUGGAGGAGCUUCAAUGAGUGAGAAACUGUGAGUUACCUGCAAAAGAUAAAAGCAAAACAGAAUGCAUUGAUGAAGAUAAUUCAAUCAGCAUGCACAGCAUAGAAUUGUUAUAGAUUGGGUAACUUCAUCAAGACUUCUCCAUGACUGAAGGUGGUAGAUUCUCAAGGAUCUGGACCAAGAUAGGAUUACUGAAUAUCUCAAGAACAAUCAAGAAUGUAAGAAAAUAUCAUUGUCUGUUAAGACUCCAUCGCAGAGAAGUUAAAGAGCUUCAAUCACCAUGCUUUCAGGGUCAAUUUGUCUCCGAAAAGGAACAGAUGGGGAAGAAUUAUUCCAUUCACAGUUGACUUGUCAGAAAUUCUAAGAUCUUGGACUGGCUGAAAGCAAUGAUGUUGCCAUUCAUCCUUUCACGUAUUCAUUAUGGUCUACAGCUGAGAAGGGCUAUUUGGGGUUUGCUUUGCCUGAUGGUAGCAGAAGAAAACCAAGAGGCCUCUCUACGAAAGCUUGCAGU
Molecule: long non-coding RNA, 684 nt
Filed under: Pan troglodytes (chimpanzee)
Lineage: Eukaryota; Metazoa; Chordata; Mammalia; Primates; Hominidae
Description: lincRNA
Source: RNAcentral